UUCUUCAUAAAAUUUAAUAAAUCGCAUAAAUUAGAUAGAUUUCUCAUGUUUGCCAGUUGUUAUGGAUGCACAAUAAUUUCUGAAUUUACUUAUUUAUUUUGACUUUUUCCAUAGUGUUUUCUUUUGAUUUUGUAUGCCCCUCUUCUGGUUUGUAUCUUCUUUUACAUGAUCAAUACUGAUUUGUUUAUACUAUAAUAUUUACCCUGAGUCCAUGGUAUAAUGAAUAUAAACAGAUGCUACUACCCCUAAAUUAACUAACUCAAAAUGGUGAUUUUUGUCCAUCUCUAGGUAAAGGUCAAAAGUCUUUUUUAUAUAAUAAUCAACUAAAUAUUAAAAUAAUUAAACACAAAAAAGUUCUUAAUCAAAACGAGUGUAAAUAUUAUUCUUAACA
This 391-nucleotide long non-coding RNA is filed under the name Mytilus galloprovincialis (Mediterranean mussel). Lineage: Eukaryota; Metazoa; Mollusca; Bivalvia; Mytilida; Mytilidae. The record is from RNAcentral.